GCAAUACGUUUUUUCCUAAAGCAACACUGUUAUUUCUUAAACUCCAGCCAGCUACUGCCCUCUUUGGACUUUGAGCCCAAGGGGAAAAGGAGAUCAGCAAGCGUUAGAACCAUUUCUCCUUAACUAAUCAGAGGGACUUGGAAAGAGCAAUGGAAAGGGAAGACCUUUCUUUGUCACCAUGGGAGUCAACGUUGUAGGAGUUAUCCACAUCAACUGAGACCACCCUGUGUAUCAUGGGAGGCAGACACCCCCUAAGCUGAGAAACGCUAACAUAAGAGGAGCAGUUAAAGAGUAGUUCUCAGCUGGGGCUCUGGAAGGAAAGAGCAUCGUAAGAGAAAAGCCUAUGCAUUUAUUUCAUGCGGGAGAGAUCCGAAGAUGUGUGCGAGCGCCUGCCCGGAGUCAGACUGCGAUGAAAGCCAGGGAUGCCUUUGGUGGCCCCUGAAAUGCUCAGUCUUCCUCCUGCCCAGCGGUGUGGUGAUCUCCAGCAUACACUUCAAGAGCACCUCCCUACCAGAUCCCACCUGAGCAAAGGUUCUGAGCUCGUAGCAUUACUGUUUCGAAGAAACAUGACGGUGCUUUC
Molecule: long non-coding RNA, 580 nt
Organism: Herpailurus yagouaroundi (jaguarundi)
Lineage: Eukaryota; Metazoa; Chordata; Mammalia; Carnivora; Felidae
Exons: 3
Source: RefSeq, a predicted model, not a curated record